GAAAUGUCAGUUUCUGGGCAGGGCUUAGGUGUCUGCAGUCCCUAGUCCCACCCCUGGCCUUGCAUUCCAGCUCAGCGGGUGGAAGGUAUAAAUUUCAGCUGCUCUCAGCCCUGCUGUGUUUUUCCAAAGCCUUCCAACAGCAACAUGAAGUUGGCAGCCUUCCUCCUCCUGUGAUCCUCAUCAUCUUCAGCCUAGAGGUACAAGAGCUUCAGGCUGCAGGAGACCGGCUUUUGGAUGAAGAGUUAUCUUAAGGAUCAUCUUUCCCUAAGAUCGUCAUCCCUUCCUGGAGUUCCUAUCUUCCAAGAUGUGACUGUCUGGAGUUCCUUGACUAGGAAGAUGGAUGAAAACAGCAAGCCUGUGGAUGGAGACUACAGGGGAUAUGGGAGGCAGGGAAGAGGGGUUGUUUCUUUUAAUAAAUCAUCAUUGUUAAAA
Molecule: long non-coding RNA, 432 nt
Filed under: Homo sapiens (human)
Lineage: Eukaryota; Metazoa; Chordata; Mammalia; Primates; Hominidae
Description: non-protein coding lnc-HEATR6-1:6
Source: RNAcentral